Long non-coding RNA from Rhea pennata, 977 nucleotides. RefSeq lists it as uncharacterized. The record is from RefSeq and is a predicted model, not a curated record. NCBI's taxonomy places the organism in Eukaryota, Metazoa, Chordata, Aves, Rheiformes, Rheidae. The transcript is spliced from 4 exons.
UCUUCAAAAUAAGAUAUGCGCAAGCAAUAGAGGUGUGGGAGAGGGAGGAGCGUUCUAACAGUUUUCUACUUCUCAGACCACUACCAGAGAGCGGAGUGCAGCUGAUAUCAGCAUUUCCUAGGGACUUUUGUCUCAGAGUAUUCUGUUCUCAUGCUUUCAAGAUAAUGAAAUCAUACUGGCAUUAUGGUAUGGUAAUAAUCAGAUAGUGUGUUUUUAAACUUUGCGGAAUGAUGUGUGGAUCAAUAUAUUCAUUAGUGGCCUGAAAAAGAAGUACAAGAAGCCAGAUCUUCAAAUGAAGCUAGUAGGAGCUAGUUCUAAAGCAAAAAAGAGGUGAUGUUUCUCGCAAUGGGUGGUGGAUCUGUGAAAGUCCUUGCUCGUGGAUGUUUUGACUGCAAAAAGAUAAAGGGAAAACAAGGAGACUGAGCAACUAUCAGAGAGAGAUUGAGGGUUUCCAAUAGACAUUCUGUCAGACUUGGGAUGUUCUUGGAGCUGAUAGAAGAAGCUGAGGGAGGUUGUGAGGAAGUAUUGUUUGCCCUGUUCUGCCUCUUCCCUGGACAUUGGCUUACAACCACCUUUGGAGACAGGUUACUGUGCCACAUAAACCUGACUGUUCUUACUGACAGAUAAGAUCUUUUGGACAGAGAUUUAACCUGAUUGUUCUGUCACCACAUGAUUUUUCUUGUUUUGUAAGUGGGCUUCAUUUUGCUCGAGUCUGUGCAAGCUGGUCAUGACUCCCUCUGUAGGUAACAGAAAGCAAUUGCUAGGAUGAAUUGCCUUUUGGAGAUGCUUGUAUCUCUGACCAGUCAGAACAGAUGGAUUUUCUUGAUGGCUAGUAUGUCCUUUGGUGACCAACAGCUGUUUAGGGUCCUUGUGAGUUUGAUUUUUAUCUGCCACUGGUCAGAAGUCUGCAGCACCUAGGCAUCUAUCAUGGUAACUAAAUGACUAACGUUGUUGUAUGUUGUACUGAUCUAAGUAAA